RNAcentral lists this non-coding RNA (30 nucleotides) under Mus musculus (house mouse). Lineage: Eukaryota; Metazoa; Chordata; Mammalia; Rodentia; Muridae. The record is from RNAcentral.
UGGAGAGAUGGCUCAGUUGUUAAGAGCACU